Molecule: ribosomal RNA, 710 nt
Filed under: uncultured bacterium
Lineage: Bacteria
Description: bacterial SSU rRNA
Rfam family: Bacterial small subunit ribosomal RNA
Source: RNAcentral
GAGCAAUCCAUGAGUAGAGUGGCAAACGGGUGAGUAACGCGUGGGUGACCUGCCUUCGAGCGGGGGAUAACGUUCCGAAAGGGACGCUAAUACCGCAUAACAUCCUGCCUUUUAAGAGGUGGAAAUCAAAGCCUGGGACCGCAAGGCCAGGCGCUGGAAGAGGGGCCCGCGUCUGAUUAGCUAGUUGGUGGGGUAAUGGCUCACCAAGGCUUCGAUCAGUAUCCGGCCUGAGAGGGCGGACGGACACACUGGGACUGAGACACGGCCCAGACUCCUACGGGAGGCAGCAGUGGGGAAUUGUUCGCAAUGGGCGCAAGCCUGACGACGCAACGCCGCGUGGAGGAUGAAGAUCUUCGGGUCGUAAACUCCUUUCGAUCGAGACGAACGGCCUCUGGGUGAACAAUCCAGAGGAGUGACGGUACCGAGAGAAGAAGCCCCGGCUAACUCCGUGCCAGCAGCCGCGGUAAUACGGGGGGGGCAAGCGUUGUUCGGAAUUACUGGGCGUAAAGGGCUCGUAGGUGGCCAACUAAGUCAGACGUGAAAUCCCUCGGCUUAACCGGGGAACUGCGUCUGAUACUGGAUGGCUUGAGUUUGGGAGAGGGACGCGGAAUUCCAGGUGUAGCGGUGAAAUGCGUAGAUAUCUGGAGGAACACCGGUGGCGAAAGCGGCGUCCUGGACCAACACUGACACUGAUGAGCGAAAGCCAGGGG